AUGAACGCUGGCGGCGUGCCUAAUACAUGCAAGUCGAGCGAACAGACGAGGAGCUUGCUCCUCUGACGUUAGCGGCGGACGGGUGAGUAACACGUGGAUAACCUACCUAUAAGACUGGGAUAACUUCGGGAAACCGGAGCUAAUACCGGAUAAUAUAUUGAACCGCAUGGUUCAAUAGUGAAAGACGGUUUUGCUGUCACUUAUAGAUGGAUCCGCGCCGCAUUAGCUAGUUGGUAAGGUAACGGCUUACCAAGGCAACGAUGCGUAGCCGACCUGAGAGGGUGAUCGGCCACACUGGAACUGAGACACGGUUCAGACUCCUACGGGAGGCAGCAGUAGGGAAUCUUCCGCAAUGGGCGAAAGCCUGACGGAGCAACGCCGCGUGAGUGAUGAAGGUCUUCGGAUCGUAAAACUCUGUUAUUAGGGAAGAACAAAUGUGUAAGUAACUAUGCACGUCUUGACGGUACCUAAUCAGAAAGCCACGGCUAACUACGUG
RNAcentral lists this ribosomal RNA (496 nucleotides) under uncultured bacterium. RNAcentral's name for it is "partial 16S ribosomal RNA". It matches the Rfam family "Bacterial small subunit ribosomal RNA", at positions 29 to 507 of the family's 1533-position model. The record is from RNAcentral.